GUAAACCUCUUUCAGCAGGGAAGAAGCGAAAGGGACGGUACCUGCAGAAGAAGCGCCGGCUAACUACGUGCCAGCAGCCGCGGUAAUACGUAGGGCGCAAGCGUUGUCCGGAAUUAUUGGGCGUAAAGAGCUCGUAGGCGGCUUGUCACGUCGGUUGUGAAAGCCCGGGGCUUAACCCCGGGUCUGCAGUCGAUACGGGCAGGCUAGAGUUCGGUAGGGGAGAUCGGAAUUCCUGGUGUAGCGGUGAAAUGCGCAGAUAUCAGGAGGAACACCGGUGGCGAAGGCGGAUCUCUGGGCCGAUACUGACGCUGAGGAGCGAAAGCGUGGGGAGCGAACAGGAUUAGAUACCCUGGUAGUCCACGCCGUAAACGGUGGGCACUAGGUGUGGGCAACAUUCCACGUUGUCCGUGCCGCAGCUAACGCAUUAAGUGCCCCGCCUGGGGAGUACGGCCGCAAGGCUAAAACUCAAAGGAAUUGACGGGGGCCCGCACAAGCGGCGGAGCAUGUGGCUUAAUUCGACGCAACGCGAAGAACCUUACCAAGGCUUGACAUACACCGGAAAACCCUGGAGACAGGGUCCCCCUUGUGGU
Molecule: ribosomal RNA, 590 nt
Filed under: Streptomyces rochei
Lineage: Bacteria; Bacillati; Actinomycetota; Actinomycetes; Kitasatosporales; Streptomycetaceae
Description: bacterial SSU rRNA
Rfam family: Bacterial small subunit ribosomal RNA
Source: RNAcentral